Molecule: non-coding RNA, 108 nt
Organism: Filobasidium floriforme
Lineage: Eukaryota; Fungi; Basidiomycota; Tremellomycetes; Filobasidiales; Filobasidiaceae
Source: the annotation of a RefSeq genome assembly
GGUUAGAUGGCCGAGCGGUUAAGGCGCAUGACUCAAGCGCAAGCUUACCUGUCUAACAGGUGUAUUCAUGUAGAGAAAUCUGCGUCGGUUCGAUUCCGGCUCUAAUCA